Rhipicephalus sanguineus (brown dog tick) is the source of this 1315-nucleotide long non-coding RNA. RefSeq lists it as uncharacterized. NCBI's taxonomy places the organism in Eukaryota, Metazoa, Arthropoda, Arachnida, Ixodida, Ixodidae. The transcript has 4 exons. The record is from RefSeq and is a predicted model, not a curated record.
AUCGGAAGAAGUGGCUAUGUGCUGUCAGGCGCGUCGUCUGGUCCCGGGAUCAAAACGCUUGUUCGUGCUCUGACCUGUCUACCUGAUGGAAGCUUUUGGGCUCGCAAAAGCAAACCACGGCAGGCGCCUGAAGGAAGGUGCAAUGCCAACGCUGUUGGUACCCACGAAACCCAGCCAGCCACCGUUCCGCGGUGGAGUGUACUCAGGCGAAGAUGAGCACAGCUCGCCCAAGAAGCACCCGAUGCUGCCGAGCAGGUUCAUUAUCCUGUGGACCGUAGAAAGUGUGACCCGAGCUGCCACGCUCCAACGAGCUUGGGGCACAGUGAACAGCCCCCUGUUUUAGUACUGCAGCACAACACAAUUCUGACUCUGGUGCCAAGACGCAGGUUGGUUGCAGCCAAGGGCUGCACAGACCUGUUUCAAGAACCUCGCUGUUGACACCAAGAUACAUAGCCAUCAGGUGUUCUGGUUGAAGAAGUCUCGAGGUGUUGCUACAAGUGCUCCGCUAACAACUACAUCCAUCAGAAAGUGCAGCUGUGAGCUGUUGUGCGAAGACGGCUUUCCCUGCUGGUGAAUGUUGGCUUCGUUUUGAGUGGAAGCAGCAUGAGUCCUCAUUUAGUGAGCAAACUAUGAAAAGGUACCCACAUGAUUCAAGGUUGUCAUCAACUCGAAUUAACGAAGCUUUCGUGGCACAGAACUCGAUCUAACAAAGUUCUUCCGGAAAUAAAUGAGCAAAAACGCAGCGGUUUCUCUCCGAUUUUCCUACAGACGGCUUUUCUACAAGCAUGCACUGUAACGCAAUCGCGUUAUAACAUCCAGCCACGCCAGUCACGACAGUAGUUUUAUUUUGAGGAGGCCGCACGCGGCAGUUGGUAGCGCUUUUACAUAUCAAAUGGCGCCGGGCAGGAGUGUUUUAUGGGCCCUGCAAAUACUCCCGCAGGAACAAGGUGGUUGCUUUCGUUAUUUAAUAGUUUAUGCGAUAUAGUUGGCACUGAUCGCCUCCUUGGAACUUUCUCACUCUGUCUGCUCGCACAUUAACUGCAUUCGUGCUCCCUGUCCUUAAAUGUUGGCAGCUUCUCCUAGCAUCACGUGAUCGUCUACCUCGCCUGCAUCACUCGGGUAUGGGAGGAAUUCAUGCUGCGGCUGCCCUCGAGGACUUUUCACACACGAAGACGUCUAUUAGUGGCAACGAAAAUACCGCAGUAGCUUUCGGCCAACGCUACGUUACAGUUUUAGACUUCGAAGAACCGAAAAAUUCUUUCCUCGAUUUUACGAACUGCCCGAUUUAACGAAACAAAUUGAGCGUUCUCAUGAA